Molecule: ribosomal RNA, 526 nt
Filed under: uncultured bacterium
Lineage: Bacteria
Description: partial 16S ribosomal RNA
Rfam family: Bacterial small subunit ribosomal RNA
Source: RNAcentral
UGGGGAAUUUUGGACAAUGGGCGAAAGCCUGAUCCAACAAUGCCGCGUGUGUGAAGAAGGCCUUCGGGUUGUAAAGCACUUUUGUCCGGAAAGAAAUCCUUGGCUCUAAUACAGUCGGGGGAUGACGGUACCGGAAGAAUAAGCACCGGCUAACUACGUGCCAGCAGCCGCGGUAAUACGUAGGGUGCAAGCGUUAAUCGGAAUUACUGGGCGUAAAGCGUGCGCAGGCGGUUUGCUAAGACCGAUGUGAAAUCCCCGGGCUCAACCUGGGAACUGCAUUGGUGACUGGCAGGCUAGAGUAUGGCAGAGGGGGGUAGAAUUCCACGUGUAGCAGUGAAAUGCGUAGAGAUGUGGAGGAAUACCGAUGGCGAAGGCAGCCCCCUGGGCCAAUACUGACGCUCAUGCACGAAAGCGUGGGGAGCAAACAGGAUUAGAUACCCUGGUAGUCCACGCCCUAAACGAUGUCAACUAGUUGUUGGGGAUUCAUUUCCUUAGUAACGUAGCUAACGCGUGAAGUUGACCGCCU